Strongylocentrotus purpuratus (purple sea urchin) is the source of this 1090-nucleotide RNA transcript. RefSeq lists it as uncharacterized. The record is from RefSeq and is a predicted model, not a curated record. Lineage: Eukaryota; Metazoa; Echinodermata; Echinoidea; Camarodonta; Strongylocentrotidae. The transcript is spliced from 3 exons.
UAGCUGCCGUUGGGGCAGCUAGUUAGGUUCUAUAUAGUUGUGAUCUGUGAGUCAGCGUCGGGCUGUCGUUGCGACAGGUCCGUUACCAGGAACGAGUAAAGUUACUUGAACUGCAGAUACUGUGCAAGUGUUGUUUCUUUAGUCCUGUCAGACAUUCAGUGAUUGCGGGAACUCUUCAAUGUUAUUCUUGUUCGACUAACUCCAUAUCGGAUGUCUGCUCUACUGCUAAUGACCUUGCAAGCGGUUCCGGAGUAUCAACUGUUACAUGCUAUGAAGAACAGCGUUGUUGGACUGAUCAUUAUGAGAACUCAUCACACACGGUUGUGUCGCGUGGAUGCACAGAUGAGCCAUGUGAAAACUUGCAUAAAGGUGGUGGACCUUACUGCACUAUGGCUAAUAACGUUACCAGUUGCACAUCCUGUUGUACUGAGUCAAAUUGCAACGACAACAAAUCCAGCUCUGAGGGUCUCACUUGUAGCUGUGUGACAUGGCUGACAUCUCUUUUCUCAGUGGUCAUCAUGCUCAUCACUUAUAGAACCUAAAUAAAUUCAAAUUUCAAAAGCUGUUUCUAUUUUAAAAUUUAUUAUAACAGGCACAAAUUUGCCUAUUCAAUUCACAGUCAAAUUUUAAUUCUAAACCAUCAGUGUUUGCAAAAGUAAGUAACAGACUUGUGUUUUACAAAUAACUAUUGAUUGAAUAAAACAUUCAAUUGAAAAUAAUUGAAGUUUUCUCAAUUUUAGCUCUGGUAAUUUUUCUUCUAUAAUAUUGUACAUAUUUAUUAAUAGAAAAGUUUAGAAUGGCUUUAAUGUACUUUUUACAUUCAAAAUGUCUUAAAAUCCGUCCUGAAUUUUCUGCAUGAAGUUAUUCCUGAAAACACAUAGCGAGAUUAGCAUUUUUCAGGAAAAAUAACAUUUGAUGAUUUAAUUGGACAAGUUAAAUCUGUCAAAAAGAUGAAACAUAAAGAUUGUCAAGCGAACAAAACCCUUAAAAUGCAGAAAAAGACAUUAAAACUGAUAAAUAGUUUCUUGAAGUUUUCAACUUUGCUGUAGAUUUUGUGACCUUACCAAAUGUAAUAUAGACGAGUGGAAAU